RNAcentral lists this ribosomal RNA (340 nucleotides) under uncultured Bacillota bacterium. RNAcentral describes it as "bacterial SSU rRNA". It matches the Rfam family "Bacterial small subunit ribosomal RNA", at positions 28 to 351 of the family's 1533-position model. The record is from RNAcentral. Lineage: Bacteria; Bacillati; Bacillota.
GAUGAACGCUGGCGGCGUGCCUAACACAUGCAAGUCGAGCGAGAUCUAUCGGAACAAAACUUCGGUCUAGUGAAGAUAGUGGAAGCGGCGGACGGGUGAGUAACGCGUAGGCAACCUGCCCCAUACAGAGGGAUAGCCUCGGGAAACCGGGAUUAAAACCUCAUAACGCGAAUUUAUCACAUGGUUUAUUCGCCAAAGAUUUAUCGGUAUGGGAUGGGCCUGCGUCUGAUUAGCUAGUUGGUGAGGUAACGGCUCACCAAGGCCACGAUCAGUAGCCGACCUGAGAGGGUAGACGGCCACAUUGGAACUGAGACACGGUCCAAACUCCUACGGGAGGCAG